CGGUUAACGGGGGAUUAGGGUUCGAUUCCGGAGAGGGAGCCUGAGAAACGGCUACCACAUCUAAGGAAGGCAGCAGGCGCGCAAAUUACCCAAUUCUAACAGCAUAAGAGAGGUAGUGACAAGAAAUAACAGUACAAGGCAGUUAAAAUGCUUUGUAAUUGGAAUGAUAGAAAUUUAAACACUUUUUAAAGUAUCAAUUGGAGGGCAAGUCUGGUGCCAGCAGCCGCGGUAAUUCCAGCUCCAAUAGCGUAUAUUAAAAUUGUUGCAGUUAAAAAGCUCGUAGUUGAAUUUCUGCUAAAAAUAACCGGUUUGCUUUUAUUAAUAAAAGUGGUAUCUUGGUGUGUUUUUAGCAAUAAUGUCCUUUGAAGUGUUUUUUACUUUAUUGUAAGAAGCAAUAUUCAGGAUUUUUACUUUGAGAAAAUUAGAGUGUUUCAAGCAGGCUAACGUUUUGAAUACUGCAGCAUGGAAUAAUAAAAUAGGAUUUUGGUUCUACAUUAUUGGUUUUAAGAA
This 510-nucleotide ribosomal RNA is filed under the name Hepatozoon sp. BT-2014. Its description in RNAcentral is "bacterial SSU rRNA". It matches the Rfam family "Eukaryotic small subunit ribosomal RNA", at positions 356 to 856 of the family's 1831-position model. The record is from RNAcentral. Lineage: Eukaryota; Apicomplexa; Hepatozoidae.